RNAcentral lists this non-coding RNA (32 nucleotides) under Geobacter sulfurreducens KN400. The record is from RNAcentral. Lineage: Bacteria; Pseudomonadati; Thermodesulfobacteriota; Desulfuromonadia; Geobacterales; Geobacteraceae.
CACUGGGGGUGGAUAUUUCACGGCCCACCAUC